This 256-nucleotide ribosomal RNA is filed under the name uncultured bacterium. RNAcentral's name for it is "partial 16S ribosomal RNA". It matches the Rfam family "Bacterial small subunit ribosomal RNA", at positions 524 to 776 of the family's 1533-position model. The record is from RNAcentral.
UACGUAGGGUGCGAGCGUUAAUCGGAAUUACUGGGCGUAAAGCGUGCGCAGGCGGUUCGUUGUGUCGGUGGUGAAAGCCCCGGGCUUAACCCUGGGGAAUGGCCAUGGAAACUGGCGAACUGGAGUGUGGCAGAGGGGGGUGGAAUUCCGCGUGUAGCAGUGAAAUGCGUAGAGAUGCGGAGGAACACCGAUGGCGAACGGCAGCCCCCUGGGCUAGCACUGACGCUCAGGCACGAAAGCGUGGGGAGCAAACAGG